Molecule: ribosomal RNA, 960 nt
Filed under: Pantoea sp.
Lineage: Bacteria; Pseudomonadati; Pseudomonadota; Gammaproteobacteria; Enterobacterales; Erwiniaceae
Description: bacterial SSU rRNA
Rfam family: Bacterial small subunit ribosomal RNA
Source: RNAcentral
GCGUUAUCGUAUUACUGGGCGUAAGCGCACGCAGGCGGUCUGUUAAGUCAGAUGUGAAAUCCCCGGGCUUAACCUGGGAACUGCAUUUGAAACUGGCAGGCUUGAGUCUUGUAGAGGGGGGUAGAAUUCCAGGUGUAGCGGUGAAAUGCGUAGAGAUCUGGAGGAAUACCGGUGGCGAAGGCGGCCCCCUGGACAAAGACUGACGCUCAGGUGCGAAAGCGUGGGGAGCAAACAGGAUUAGAUACCCUGGUAGUCCACGCCGUAAACGAUGUCGACUUGGAGGUUGUUCCCUUGAGGAGUGGCUUCCGGAGCUAACGCGUUAAGUCGACCGCCUGGGGAGUACGGCCGCAAGGUUAAAACUCAAAUGAAUUGACGGGGGCCCGCACAAGCGGUGGAGCAUGUGGUUUAAUUCGAUGCAACGCGAAGAACCUUACCUACUCUUGACAUCCACGGAAUUUGGCAGAGAUGCUUUAGUGCCUUCGGGAACCGUGAGACAGGUGCUGCAUGGCUGUCGUCAGCUCGUGUUGUGAAAUGUUGGGUUAAGUCCCGCAACGAGCGCAACCCUUAUCCUUUGUUGCCAGCGAUUCGGUCGGGAACUCAAAGGAGACUGCCGGUGAUAAACCGGAGGAAGGUGGGGAUGACGUCAAGUCAUCAUGGGCCCUUACGAGUAGGGCUACACACGUGCUACAAUGGCGCAUACAAAGAGAAGCGACCUCGCGAGAGCAAGCGGACCUCACAAAGUGCGUCGUAGUCCGGAUCGGGAGUCUGCAACUCGACUCCGUGAAGUCGGGAAUCGCUAGUAAUCGUGGGAUCAGAAUGCCACGGGUGAAUACGUUCCCGGGCCUUGUACACACCGCCCCGUCACACCAUGGGGAGUGGGUUGCGAAAGAGUAGGUACUUAACCUUCGGGAGGGCGCUUACCACUUUGUGAUCAGACUGGGGUGAAUCUAACAGGUAACC